This 263-nucleotide long non-coding RNA is filed under the name Nicotiana benthamiana. RNAcentral describes it as "long non-coding RNA (NBEN_LNC007358)". Lineage: Eukaryota; Viridiplantae; Streptophyta; Magnoliopsida; Solanales; Solanaceae. The record is from RNAcentral.
CCAUGGGGUAGGUAACUUGAUCACCUGGUAGAAGAUCGAGAGGACUGCACACAUGGCGUGUAUCCAAGGGAGCCCUAUGAUGGUAUUUUUAACCGUUUCCUGGUUUAUGAGGUGGAACGUGGUUUCUAGCAUAACUCCCCUCUGCUAAAAUUGGAAACAAUCUCUCUAGAGGUCCGUUCCACUGCAUUGCUAAAAUCCGUUAGUGUUAUGCAAUGUAGUAUUAUCUUAUCUUCGAGUCUCAUUUGCAUGAGGACUCUUGGAUG